RNAcentral lists this ribozyme (97 nucleotides) under Aedes aegypti (yellow fever mosquito). RNAcentral's name for it is "drz-agam-1 ribozyme". It matches the Rfam family "drz-agam-1 ribozyme". The record is from Rfam by way of RNAcentral. Lineage: Eukaryota; Metazoa; Arthropoda; Insecta; Diptera; Culicidae.
UGCCCAGCAACUCCUAUCCCUACCUCCUCGGGAUGCGAUAGGGAAGAUCGGGUAACCAACCCCGGUAGGACUUCUGGUCGUAUGCUGACAGGGAAGG